AAGGUGAAAAAGUACCAGUUCAAUUUUGAACAGAGCAAUGGCAAUAUUUUAUGGAGAGACUGCAAAGUAGUAAAUAAGAAACCAGGUGCUGCUGUUCAACAGACACAGGUUUGAGCCCUGGUAUGAUGUUAAAUAGAAGUGGUGAUGGGGUGUCUCCAACUUGUUGAU
This 168-nucleotide long non-coding RNA is filed under the name Mustela putorius furo (domestic ferret). RNAcentral's name for it is "lncRNA (ENSMPUG00000024534.1)". The record is from RNAcentral. Lineage: Eukaryota; Metazoa; Chordata; Mammalia; Carnivora; Mustelidae.